AGUCUGCAACUCGACUACAUGAAGCUGGAAUCGCUAGUAAUCGCGAAUCAGAAUGUCGCGGUGAAUACGUUCCCGGGUCUUGUACACACCGCCCGUCACACCAUGGGAGUUAGGAAUGCCCGAAGCCGGUGACCUAACCGAAAGGGAGGAGCCGUCGAAGGCAGGCUUGAUAACUGGGGUGAAGUCGUAACAAGGUAUC
RNAcentral lists this ribosomal RNA (199 nucleotides) under uncultured bacterium. Its description in RNAcentral is "partial 16S ribosomal RNA". It matches the Rfam family "Bacterial small subunit ribosomal RNA", at positions 1302 to 1500 of the family's 1533-position model. The record is from RNAcentral.